CUGAGAAUGUUUGUUUCUGUGUCGGUUGGGUUAUGUGCAUUUCAUUUCUGUUUCUGCGUCUGUCCGAGAUGUUCGUUGUAUUCAAAAGUAUCUCUGAGUUAUCUCCGAGAUUUGCUUUGGUUUUUUGGGUCAUAGCCCUGUGGAGAUACAUACAUACAUAUGUAUGUUUAAAGCGACAAAAGUGUGUGCGAUCGUUAACUCACGAAAGAGAGACAAUAUCAUAUGAGAGAUUGAUAUUUGGGCAUCACCAUGAGUAGAGUGUUAGCAGAGAUUGAGAUGGAGUCUUGAAUAUAGGACCAAAAUUCCUUUAGGGUAUACUUAGACAGAUCAUGGAAAAUUAACCUAAAAGAACUCUGAAGUAUACAGAAGAACAUAAAUUAAAAACUUAAAAAACUCGAUCAUAUACGUAGGGGUUAGU
RNAcentral lists this long non-coding RNA (418 nucleotides) under Drosophila guanche. The record is from RNAcentral. Lineage: Eukaryota; Metazoa; Arthropoda; Insecta; Diptera; Drosophilidae.